This 403-nucleotide ribosomal RNA is filed under the name uncultured bacterium. Its description in RNAcentral is "bacterial SSU rRNA". It matches the Rfam family "Bacterial small subunit ribosomal RNA", at positions 362 to 757 of the family's 1533-position model. The record is from RNAcentral.
UUUUGGACAAUGGGCGAAAGCCUGAUCCAGCAAUGCCGCGUGCAGGAUGAAGGCCUUCGGGUUGUAAACUGCUUUUGUACGGAACGAAACGGUUCUCCAUAAUACGGGGGGCUAAUGACGGUACCGUAAGAAUAAGCACCGGCUAACUACGUGCCAGCAGCCGCGGUAAUACGUAGGGUGCGAGCGUUAAUCGGAAUUACUGGGCGUAAAGCGUGCGCAGGCGGUUAUAUAAGACAGAUGUGAAAUCCCCGGGCUCAACCUGGGACCUGCAUUUGUGACUGUAUAGCUAGAGUACGGUAGAGGGGGAUGGGAUUCCGCGUGUAGCAGUGAAAUGCGUAGAUAUGCGGGGGAACACCGAUGGCGAAGGCAAUCCCCUGGACCUGUACUGACGCUCAUGCACGAA